Vanessa tameamea is the source of this 2101-nucleotide long non-coding RNA. RefSeq lists it as uncharacterized. The transcript has 6 exons. The record is from RefSeq and is a predicted model, not a curated record. NCBI's taxonomy places the organism in Eukaryota, Metazoa, Arthropoda, Insecta, Lepidoptera, Nymphalidae.
UUUUAAUCUUUUCCUGCUCAAGAUGCGUGAUGGUCUAAACAGGUAUCGUAUAUGUUUAUAUUUAUACCACGAUUAGGUAUGUGUAUAGGUUUCGGUGAUUCGGCGCAGUAUUCAUCGAACAGGCCCUGUGAUCUGAUUGUGUAUUGUGGAUCUUGUUCUAAGAUUCAAAAAUUCUGGGUUUAUUUGAUUAAAUGAACAGCCUGUGAAAAACAUUGCACUCCUUUGGUAUUUUACAAGGACUUCUUCUAGAACUAUGACGUCGACUUCAUCAAAGCUUCCUUUGCAAAAAUUUUGCUUCUGUAUGUCGCUGAGAAUAGGAUGUUUUAUUAUGGCAUAUACGAAAUUGAUUGGGAUCAUUAUCCUUACCAUAACCGAUGGGGUUAUUAUACACAUUGAAAUCACUAAAUUAAAUAAAAAAUAUCAAUAUAUAAGUUUAUUGUGGAUUGCAGACAUCUGUAUAAUUUUCUUCGUCAUACUUUUGACCCUAACAUUCAAUAUCAUUCUUCUCGUUGGAUUACAUAAGAAAAAACCUGGUCACGUAAAAGCUUAUACUAUUUAUUAUACAAUACUUAUUGUUAUUUUCGCGGUUUUUAUAGUCAUGUCAAUUACAAGAGGAAAUAAUGAAUUGUCAGUUAUUUUUUUAAGAAUUACACAAUUACUUGUAUCCAUCUAUAUAAACCUCGUCUACAGAAGUUACUACAUCAGUAUGAAAGAAACGUCUGAACAAACCGUUUAAUGCAUGAAAUAUUUUCAUAAUAUUAUUGGAACGAAGUUUUACUCGGCGUAAGGAAAAAGCUUUAUGCCUCCAGGCGACGUUUCCCACUCUUCCUCUUUCUCUAUUUCUUUUAUAUACGCCUUUAUAUAAAAUUAUUUAAAACAUUAUUAAUUUAUUUCAUCGUAUCUGUUAUUUAAUCAUUCUUACAUAACGAAAACCACUUCGUUCCAACCAUGUGUCCCAAGACUACACUCUUCCUUUUAGUAUAUUCCAAUGGCAGGAGAAGUAAUGUAAACGAAUCUUAAAUUUAUAUAUUCCAUGUGAUUUGUUAAUAGAACCGCUAUAUUAUGCAUUACAAACAUAUUGUGAUGAAUAUACAUAUUAUACUGAAAUACUUAUAUCCACAAACAUUCAACACCCCCUUUUUCACAAAUCUAUUUUGAAUACUUUAUGUAGGAUACUUCUCGAGCAGUGAUGUCACGUUAAUUCAAGGUCAAAUUUUUUUAUUUAUCUUUACCCCUCCUUCCAUUGAAAUCGACUGUAUGUACUAGUGAUAUAAUUAAAAUAACUUGCUAUGUAAUAUUAUUUAUGAUUAUGCAGUUAUGUAUAAUUUGCCUUAUACGUUACAUAUUAUUAAAUAUUAUUUUGUUAUUUAUUUUAAAGUUAACAUGUUUAUGUAAUACUGCACGAAUAUGAAGCAUCAGUAAGUGCUUAUUAUUAUUUUUUUACAAUCGAAAACUGUAUUGCGGCGAAAUGCUCAUUCCGGCAAAUAUUUUAAUUUUUAUAUUAAUCAUUUUCCCUUCAAUAAAGCGUGAACCCUUAAAAAAUUUCUUAAAGCUUAUGAAAAAAUCACUAAUUAAGUACUUUAAGUCGUUUAAUUAUAAUAAAUAAAAAACCAAAAUACUUUUAUUGAAUAUCUAUAUUUUUAUAGUUUAACUUGGAGAUUCAGCGAGAGAAGUUUCUUUUUCGUUUCUUUGCUUAAUAACUGUUUUCCUGUUCAUUUUAGCACAAAAUUAGGUUAGAACGAAUUUAUAGAACAUGUCUUUCUGAAAGUUUUGUUCGAUAUUUUUUUUCAUUUUGGUCAAUUUGAAACGCUGUUACAGCGCUCCCCCAACGGGGACAAGGGCGCCAACCCCACAAACUUGGGGUUAAGGUUGUAUUGACGCCCCCUACAUGUCCCACAGAUAAAAUCGCGUCCUUUAGGAAAUGUUCAGUUUGGCCCUAAAAUUGUAACAUUUCAAUGGACUAAUUCAUUAAUUCGUUAUUUAUUUCCAUUUUUCCCUAUAAUUAAGGACAAUGUUACGUAUAUUUUUAUGAUAUAAUGUCAUUGCGAUGUCAUUGCAACCGUACCAAAUAGCUAAAAUAUAUUUUAUAUUUAUCAAUAUU